Molecule: ribosomal RNA, 581 nt
Filed under: Cystofilobasidium macerans
Lineage: Eukaryota; Fungi; Basidiomycota; Tremellomycetes; Cystofilobasidiales; Cystofilobasidiaceae
Description: partial large subunit ribosomal RNA
Rfam family: Eukaryotic large subunit ribosomal RNA
Source: RNAcentral
UACGGCGAGUGAAGCGGGAAGAGCUCAAAUUUAAAAUCUGGCAGGCUACGCUUGUCCGAAUUGUAAUCUCGAGAAGUGUUUUCCGCGUUGGCCUGUGUACAAGUCCCUUGGAACAGGGCGUCAUAGAGGGUGAGAAUCCCGUCCUUGACACAGACACCCAAUGCUUUGUGAUACACUCUCAAUGAGUCGAGUUGUUUGGGAAUGCAGCUCAAAAUGGGUGGUAAAUUCCAUCUAAAGCUAAAUACUGGCGAGAGACCGAUAGCGAACAAGUACCGUGAGGGAAAGAUGAAAAGCACUUUGGAAAGAGAGUCAAACAGUACGUGAAAUUGUUGAAAGGGAAACGAUUGAAGUCAGUCGUGCCUGCCUAGUCUCAGCCUUUUGGUGUACUACUAGGUCGGCAGGUCAGCAUCAGUUUGGGAGGAUUAACAAGGGAGCUAGGAAUGUGGCAACCUCGGUUGUGUUAUAGCCUAGUUUCGCAUUGAUCUUGCUGGACUGAGGAACGCAGUGCGCCCGCAAGGGUUGGUCUUCGGACACAUUCGCACUUAGGAUGCUGGCAUAAUGGCUUUAAACGACCCGUCUUA